Molecule: ribosomal RNA, 741 nt
Filed under: Triticum aestivum (bread wheat)
Lineage: Eukaryota; Viridiplantae; Streptophyta; Magnoliopsida; Poales; Poaceae
Description: partial small subunit ribosomal RNA
Source: RNAcentral
AUGUUCAUGUCAAAGUACUUUCAUACUAUCAUCGUUGGUUCAACAUCCACAACUGCACAACUUUAUAGGGAGUGCAUACAUCCUAAGAUUCCACAACUUGCGGUCCUCGGAUAUUCUGACAACUAUGCGAAUGUCUACACUUCAGAACUACGGUCUAAGUGGCUAGCAUAUUUCAUGGAUGGUGGAUUUAGAUUACCAAGUGUUGAAGCAAUGCAGAGGGAUGUACUUGAAUGCGAGAAGGUAAUGAAGCAUUACUCCCGUGACGAAUCACGUACACCGUGCACUGGACUUCUUCCUACUUGGUACAAUGAUAGAUUAUGUGAAGACAUGGGAUGCAACCCGAGAAGGAAGAAUGGAUUUUUUGCCGAAUUAUUUGAGGCCUAUGGUCCCGAUGAUUAUAGCGAUCUUCACCCUAAGGUUUGUGUCAUGUUCGAAAAGACGAGGCGGCGGUGGCUUCUUGAAGAUGGAAUAAGGUCCUCCCCGUCUAGCCCCCGUUCCAGUGAUGUUUCAAGCGUGGUUGGAAGGCAUGUAAAGGUUUGUCUCCGAUGGAUCUCGUGGGAUCCGGUUGGCGUUUGUCUUCAGUGGAUUCGACUGGAUCCGGUCAACAUUCGUCUACGUCCGUGUGUCUGCAGGUUGGAUCCUUCCGAUUUGCACUUCUCUUCAUCGACGGCGGCUGUUGUUCUGUUGCGCUGGUCCUAUGGGACCUUAGCACGACGACUUCCCGACUGUCUACUACAAUAA